GUCUAGAUGAAGAGUCCCAAAUGGGACGAAAUGUGCAUCCUGGAU
This 45-nucleotide non-coding RNA is filed under the name Trichobilharzia regenti. The record is from RNAcentral. Lineage: Eukaryota; Metazoa; Platyhelminthes; Trematoda; Strigeidida; Schistosomatidae.